UCUGCCUUAUCGGCAAGCGGUCUGAUUAGAGUGCCCAACUUAAUGCUGGCAACUAAUCACGAGGGUUGCGCUCGUUGCGGGACUUAACCCAACAUCUCACGACACGAGCUGACGACAGCCAUGCAGCACCUGUAUCCUAGUCUCUUGCGAGAACUCCGGCUUUCACCGGAUAGCCAGGUAUGUCAAGCCCAGGUGAGGUUCUUCGCGUUGCCUCGAAUUAAACCACAUACUCCACUGCUUGUGCGGGCCCCCGUCAAUUUCUUUGAGUUUUAACCUUGCGGCCGUAAUCCCCAGGCGGGUCACUUAACGCGUUUGCUACGACACCGGAACGGUAAGUUGUCCCGACAUCUAGUGACCAUCGUUUACAGCGUGGACUAC
Molecule: unclassified non-coding RNA, 378 nt
Filed under: uncultured delta proteobacterium
Lineage: Bacteria; Deltaproteobacteria
Description: contains 16S-23S intergenic spacer region
Source: RNAcentral